This 641-nucleotide ribosomal RNA is filed under the name Lunella undulata. Its description in RNAcentral is "partial 12S ribosomal RNA". It matches the Rfam family "Bacterial small subunit ribosomal RNA", at positions 616 to 1384 of the family's 1533-position model. Lineage: Eukaryota; Metazoa; Mollusca; Gastropoda; Trochida; Turbinidae. The record is from RNAcentral.
CACAAACUAGAUCAAGUUAAGAUUAAUACAGUAAAAAAGUGGUAAAAGGCCUACUGGUGUCCCAUAGGACACCGGCAUUACAAGAAAAAUUACGUUUUCUAUAGAGGUGGAAUUUGUGUAGAAAAACUAAAUUACUGUUUUCUUGCCCACUUGAAGCCACGAAAUCUCAGUUAAAAACCGGGAUUAGAUACCCCGUUAUUUGAGAUGUAAAUUUUGAUUUUUUUAGAAAAUUUACUUGAGCAUUACGGGCCCUAUAAAUUUACACUUAUAGGAACAGCCUAAAACUCAAAAGACUUGGCGGUGCCUUAAAUCCUUCCAGGGGAACCUGUCCUGUAAUUGAUAGUCCACAAUUUACCUUUCCUUUUUUUGAAUUUAUACCAGUCUGUAUACCGUCGUCGUCAGAUUACCUCUAAGAGAAAAAGUUAUCGACUAAAAAAGCUUUUCUUUUCAUGCUAUUACUAGCUUUGAUAAUGGAAUGUCCUCUAAACGUCAGAUCAAGGUGCAGCCUACGAAAAGGAAGAGAUGGGUUACAAUGAAUAAUUAUUAUACGAAUUUCUUUUUGCAAAAUAAGUCUAAAGGAGGACUUGGAAGUAAUUAUUAGAGAAAUAGAGAGUCUCGGUGAAGAUGGCUCUAAGGCGUGU